Molecule: ribosomal RNA, 314 nt
Filed under: uncultured soil bacterium
Lineage: Bacteria
Description: bacterial SSU rRNA
Rfam family: Bacterial small subunit ribosomal RNA
Source: RNAcentral
AGAGUUUGAUCAUGGCUCAGAACGAACGCUGGCGGCAGGCUUAACACAUGCAAGUCGAAUGCACCGCAAGGUGAGUGGCAGACGGGUGAGUAACGCGUGGGAACGUGCCCUUCAGUUCGGGAUAACCCAGGGAAACUUGGGCUAAUACCGGAUACGUGCGAGAGCAGAAAGAUUUAUCGCUGAAGGAUCGGCCCGCGUCUGAUUAGCUAGUUGGUGGGGUAAUGGCCCACCAAGGCGACGAUCAGUAGCUGGUCUGAGAGGAUGAUCAGCCACAUUGGGACUGAGACACGGCCCAAACUCCUACGGGAGGCAGC